Molecule: ribosomal RNA, 638 nt
Filed under: Clostridioides difficile
Lineage: Bacteria; Bacillati; Bacillota; Clostridia; Peptostreptococcales; Peptostreptococcaceae
Description: bacterial LSU rRNA
Rfam family: Bacterial large subunit ribosomal RNA
Source: RNAcentral
UCGUGGAGGUCCGAACCCACGAGCGUUGAAAAGCUCGGGGAUGACUUGUGGGUAGCGGUGAAAUUCCAAUCGAGCCCGGAGAUAGCUGGUUCUCCCCGAAAUAGCUUUAGGGCUAGCCUCAAGGUGAGAGAUACGGAGGUAGAGCACUGAAUGUCCUAGGGGGUAUUGCACCUACCGAAGACUAUCAAACUCCGAAUGCCGUCAUCUUAUACUUGGGAGUCAGACUGUGGGUGAUAAGAUUCAUAGUCGAAAGGGCAACAGCCCAGAUCGUCAGCUAAGGUCCCUAAAUGUAAGUUAAGUGGUAAAGGAUGUGGGAUUGCACAGACAACCAGGAUGUUGGCUUAGAAGCAGCCACUCAUUCAAAGAGUGCGUAAUAGCUCACUGGUCGAGUGAUCCUGCGCCGAAGAUUUCCGGGGCUAAAACUUACUACCGAAGCUACGGCAUCAGUAAUGAUGGGUAGGGGAGCUUCCCAUACGGGUUGAAGCAUGACCGUAAGGACAUGUGGACAGGAUGGGAGUGAGAAUGUUGGCAUGAGUAGCGAGAUGUGGGUGAGAAUCCCACAGGCCGUAAACCCAAGGUUUCCAGGGGAAGGUUCGUCCGCCCUGGGUUAGUCGGGACCUAAGCUGAGGCCGAAAGGC